Molecule: non-coding RNA, 220 nt
Organism: Cinara cedri
Lineage: Eukaryota; Metazoa; Arthropoda; Insecta; Hemiptera; Aphididae
Source: the annotation of a GenBank genome assembly
AGAGUGAUAAUGGUGAUUAUUUUAUUGUGACAAAAUGUCGAUAAGCUCAUAAACAAAAACCAACUCGAAAGUUUAAUUUUCAUGAAUUUGCGAUCUUGAUUGACUGGAGUGUGGUUCUAAACUAUAAUCUGAUUUUAAAUUAAUGUAUGCGUUAUUGUUCAUACGACCGCGAAUUUUAAAGUGUCAAUAAAAAGUAUGCGGUUCUGAACGAUCGAUCCUU